Molecule: ribosomal RNA, 502 nt
Filed under: uncultured bacterium
Lineage: Bacteria
Description: partial 16S ribosomal RNA
Rfam family: Bacterial small subunit ribosomal RNA
Source: RNAcentral
AUUGAACGCUGGCGGCAGGCUUAACACAUGCAAGUCGAGCGGGGUGAUGGUGCUUGCACUAUCACUUAGCGGCGGACGGGUGAGUAAUGCUUAGGAAUCUGCCUAUUAGUGGGGGACAACAUCUCGAAAGGGAUGCUAAUACCGCAUACGUCCUACGGGAGAAAGCAGGGGAUCACUUGUGACCUUGCGCUAAUAGAUGAGCCUAAGUCGGAUUAGCUAGUUGGUGGGGUAAAGGCCUACCAAGGCGACGAUCUGUAGCGGGUCUGAGAGGAUGAGCCGCCACACUGGGACGGAGGCACGGCACAGACUCCUACGGGAGGCAGCAGUGGGGAAUAUUGGACAAUGGGGGAACCCUGAUCCAGCCAUGCCGCGUGUGUGAAGAAGGCCUUAUGGUUGUAAAGCACUUUAAGCGAGGAGGAGGCUCUUUUGGUUAAUACCCAAGAUGAGUGGACGUUACUCGCAGAAUAAGCACCGGCUAACUCUGUGCCAGCCGCCGCGGUAA